Cyprinus carpio (common carp) is the source of this 378-nucleotide long non-coding RNA. RefSeq lists it as uncharacterized. The record is from RefSeq and is a predicted model, not a curated record. Lineage: Eukaryota; Metazoa; Chordata; Actinopteri; Cypriniformes; Cyprinidae.
CCCUCCGACUGUCCGUCCGAGAACAACUGUGCCCGAUCUCUCCCAGCUGUCGUUUUCUCGUCCUUUCCUGUGUACACACACACACACGCAUAGACCGACAAGACUUCUCGUUCCUCUUCCUCCUUUCACAUCCCAGACGAAGGCUGGGGUGUGUGCGGCGAGCAGGAGAUGCGGACGAAGCGGAGAGAAAUGAAAGCACAAAGCAGCAAAACGCAUCAGCAUGAAUAUUAGAGAUGUCGUUAAAAUCCGGACUCGUUUUUCUCUCUCUCUCUCUUGCUCGCUCAUUUUCUCUCUCUCUCUUUAGCUCAUUGUGAAACAGGAGGUCCAGCAGAGGGUGCUAGCUGUUAUUACAUUAAAUUUCACAAUUUAACCCCAAAA